RNAcentral lists this transfer RNA (72 nucleotides) under Ovis aries (sheep). It matches the Rfam family "tRNA". Rfam says of the family: Transfer RNA (tRNA) molecules are approximately 80 nucleotides in length. Their secondary structure includes four short double-helical elements and three loops (D, anti-codon, and T loops). The record is from Rfam by way of RNAcentral. Lineage: Eukaryota; Metazoa; Chordata; Mammalia; Artiodactyla; Bovidae.
UCCCUGGCAGUCCAGUGGUUAGGACUCCGCACUUGCACUGCCAAGAGCCUGGGUUCAAUCCCUGUCAGGGAA